GAUGAACGCUAGCGGCAGGCCUAACACAUGCAAGUCAGGGGUAACAUGAAAAGCUUGCUUUUCUGAUGACGACCGGCGCACGGGUGCGUAACGCGUAUACAACCUACCUUUUAGCGGGGAAUAGCCCAGGGAAACUUGGAUUAAUGCCCCAUAGUAUAUAGACUUCUCCUGAAGUUUAUAUUAAACAUUUAUGGCUAUUAGAUGGGUAUGCGUCCUAUUAGUUAGUUGGUAAGGUAACGGCUUACCAAGGCAGCGAUAGGUAGGGGUCCUGAGAGGGAGAUCCCCACACUGGUACUGAGACACGGACCAGACUCCUACGGGAGGCAGCAGUGAGGAAUAUUGGACAAUGGGCGAGAGCCUGAUCCAGCCAUGCCGCGUGCAGGAAGACUGCCCUAUGGGUUGUAAACUGCUUUUACAGAGGAAGAACCACCCCCACGUGUGGGGGUUUGACGGUACUCUGCGAAUAAGGAUCGGCUAACUCCGUG
RNAcentral lists this ribosomal RNA (485 nucleotides) under uncultured bacterium. RNAcentral describes it as "bacterial SSU rRNA". It matches the Rfam family "Bacterial small subunit ribosomal RNA", at positions 28 to 507 of the family's 1533-position model. The record is from RNAcentral.